UACCAGCACCCCGAGUGGUCGGGACGAUUAUUGGGCCUAAAGCAUCCGUAGCCGGUUUUACAAGUCCUCCGUUGAAUCCAGCUGCUUAACAGAUGGGCUGCGGAGGAUACUAUAAGACUAGGAGGCAGGAGAGGCAAGCGGUACUCAGUGGGUAGGGGUAAAAUCCGUUGAUCCAUUGAAGACCACCAGUGGCGAAGGCGGCUUGCCAGAAUGCGCUCGAUGGUGAGGGAUGAAAGCUGGGGGAGCAAACCGG
This 253-nucleotide ribosomal RNA is filed under the name uncultured bacterium. RNAcentral's name for it is "partial 16S ribosomal RNA". It matches the Rfam family "Archaeal small subunit ribosomal RNA", at positions 474 to 727 of the family's 1478-position model. The record is from RNAcentral.